GCAGUCGUGCGAGAAGUCCCCUUUCGGGGGAUGGACAGCGGCGAAAGGGAGAGUAAUACGUAGAAAUCUGCCCCCUGGUCUGGGAUAGCGUCGGGAAACUGGCGGUAAUACCGGAUAAAGUCUUCGGACCAAAGGUGAGAUUCCGCCGGGGGAUGAGUCUACGACCUAUUAGCUAGUUGGCGGGGUAAUGGCCCACCAAGGCAAUGAUGGGUAGCGGGUGUGAGAGCAUGACCCGCCUCACUGGGACUGAGACACUGCCCAGACAUCUACGGAUGGCUGCAGUCGAGAAUCUUUGUCAAUGGACGAAAGUCUGAACAAGCGACGCCGCGUGCGGGAUGAAGGCCUUCGGGUUGUAAACCGCUGUCGUAAGGGAGCAAAUCCAAGGGGGUUCUCCCCCUUGGUUGAGUGAUCUUAGGAGGAAGGACGGGCUAAGUUCGUGCCAGCAGCCGCGGUAAGACGAACCGUCCGAACGUUAUUCGGUAUCACUGGGCUUAAAGAGUUCGUAGGCGGCCAUGUAGGUCAGGUGUGAAAUCCCACAGCUCAACUGUGGAACUGCGCUUGAAACCACAUGGCUUGAGGAAGAUAGAGGUGAGUGGAACAGAUGGUGGAGCGGUGAAAUGCGUUGAUAUCAUCUGGAACACCGGUGGCGAAAGCGGCUCACUGGAUCUUUUCUGACGCUGAGGAACGAAAGCUAGGGUAGCGAACGGGAUUAGAUACCCCGGUAGUCCUAGCCGUAAACGAUGAGCACUAGUCCGUGGGGACCCUCACAUCUUCUCGGACGUAGCGAAAGUGUUAAGUGCUCCGCCUGGGG
This 811-nucleotide ribosomal RNA is filed under the name uncultured Planctomycetota bacterium. Its description in RNAcentral is "bacterial SSU rRNA". It matches the Rfam family "Bacterial small subunit ribosomal RNA", at positions 57 to 878 of the family's 1533-position model. The record is from RNAcentral. Lineage: Bacteria; Pseudomonadati; Planctomycetota.